UACGUAGGGGGCGAGCGUUGUCCGGAUUUACUGGGCGUAAAGGGCAUGCAGGCGGUCGGACGCGUUUCGGGUGACAGCGGGUGGCUUAACUACCCGAGUGGUCGAAAGACGGUUUGACUUGAGGACGCGAGAGGGACACGGAAUUCCGGGUGGAGUGGUGAAAUGCGUAGAGAUCCGGAGGAACACCGAAGGCGAAGGCAGUGUCCUGGCGCGUAACUGACGCUGAGGUGCGAAAGCCAGGGGAGCGAACGGG
RNAcentral lists this ribosomal RNA (253 nucleotides) under uncultured bacterium. RNAcentral's name for it is "partial 16S ribosomal RNA". It matches the Rfam family "Bacterial small subunit ribosomal RNA", at positions 524 to 776 of the family's 1533-position model. The record is from RNAcentral.